Molecule: ribosomal RNA, 634 nt
Filed under: uncultured Clostridia bacterium
Lineage: Bacteria; Bacillati; Bacillota; Clostridia
Description: bacterial SSU rRNA
Rfam family: Bacterial small subunit ribosomal RNA
Source: RNAcentral
UAAUACCGCAUAACGUCCUGGAAGCGCAUGCUUUCGGGACCAAAGGAUUUAUUCGCUUAAGGAUGGCCUCGCGGCCGAUUAGGUAGUUGGUGAGGUAACGGCCCACCAAGCCUACGAUCGGUAGCCGGACUGAGAGGUUGAACGGCCACAUUGGGACUGAGAUACGGCCCAGACUCCUACGGGAGGCAGCAGUGGGGAAUAUUGCGCAAUGGGGGAAACCCUGACGCAGCAACGCCGCGUGAAGGAAGAAGGUCUUCGGAUUGUAAACUUCUUUGAUCAGGGACGAAACAAAUGACGGUACCUGAGGAACAAGCCACGGCUAACUACGUGCCAGCAGCCGCGGUAAUACGUAGGUGGCGAGCGUUAUCCGGAUUUACUGGGUGUAAAGGGCGUGUAGGCGGUUUUGCAAGUCAGAUGUGAAAUUUCCGGGCUUAACCCGGACGGGUCAUCUGAAACUGCAGAACUUGAGUACUGGAGAGGAUAGCGGAAUUCCUAGUGUAGCGGUAAAAUGCGUAGAUAUUAGGAGGAACACCGGUGGCGAAGGCGGCUAUCUGGACAGUAACUGACGCUGAGGCGCGAAAGCGUGGGGAGCAAACAGGAUUAGAUACCCUGGUAGUCCACGCCGUAAACGAUG